GCGGGUGUGGUGGAAUGGCAGACACAACAGACUUAAAAUCUGUCGGGUUUCCCGUGCCGGUUCGAGUCCGGCCACCCGCA
RNAcentral lists this transfer RNA (80 nucleotides) under Tumebacillus permanentifrigoris. RNAcentral's name for it is "tRNA-Leu". It matches the Rfam family "tRNA". From Rfam's summary of the family: Transfer RNA (tRNA) molecules are approximately 80 nucleotides in length. Their secondary structure includes four short double-helical elements and three loops (D, anti-codon, and T loops). Lineage: Bacteria; Bacillati; Bacillota; Bacilli; Caryophanales; Alicyclobacillaceae. The record is from RNAcentral.